RNAcentral lists this ribosomal RNA (492 nucleotides) under uncultured bacterium. Its description in RNAcentral is "bacterial SSU rRNA". It matches the Rfam family "Bacterial small subunit ribosomal RNA", at positions 36 to 542 of the family's 1533-position model. The record is from RNAcentral.
CUGGCGGCGUGCCUAACACAUGCAAGUCGAACGAGAAAGCGGGGGCAACUCCGCAAGUAAAGUGGCGACCGGGUGAGUAACACGUGACUAACCUGCCCUCGAGCGGGGGAUAACCCCGGGAAACCGGGGCUAAUACCGCAUAACGUCCUCGAUACGAAAGUAUUGAGGAUCAAAGGAGCAAUCCACUUGAGGAGGGGGUCGCGGCCGAUUAGCUAGUUGGCGGGGUAAUGGCCCACCAAGGCUGAGAUCGGUAGCCGGCCUGAGAGGGCGCACGGCCACACUGGAACUGAAACACGGUCCAGACUCCUACGGGAGGCAGCAGUGGGGAAUUUUGCGCAAUGGGGGGAACCCUGACGCAGCAACGCCGCGUGGAGGAUGAAGUCCCUUGGGACGUAAACUCCUUUCGACCGGGAAGAUAAUGACGGUACCGGAAGAAGAAGCACCGGCUAACUCUGUGCCAGCAGCCGCGGUAAUACAGAGGGUGCGAGCGUU